This is a non-coding RNA of Rattus norvegicus (Norway rat), 69 nucleotides long. The record is from Rfam. NCBI's taxonomy places the organism in Eukaryota, Metazoa, Chordata, Mammalia, Rodentia, Muridae.
GGGGAUUUAGCUCAGUGAUAGAGCGCUUGCCUAGGAAGCGCAAGGCCCUGGGUUCGAUCCCCAGCUCCG